UACAGAGGGUGCAAGCGUUAAUCGGAAUUACUGGGCGUAAAGGGUGCGUAGGUGGUUAAUUAAGUCAGAUGUGAAAUCCCUAGGCUUAACCUAGGAAUUGCGUUUGAAACUGGUUAGCUAGAGUACAGGAGAGGGAAGUGGAAUUUCCGGUGUAGCGGUGAAAUGCGUAGAUAUCGGAAGGAACAUCAGUGGCGAAGGCGACUUCCUGGACUGUUACUGACACUGAGGCACGAAAGCGUGGGGAGCGAACAGG
RNAcentral lists this ribosomal RNA (253 nucleotides) under uncultured bacterium. Its description in RNAcentral is "partial 16S ribosomal RNA". It matches the Rfam family "Bacterial small subunit ribosomal RNA", at positions 524 to 776 of the family's 1533-position model. The record is from RNAcentral.